UUCGAAAACUGUCACGGGGCCGUGCAGCCCUUUCACGGCAAUUACAGACUGUCAUCUUAACCGAUGACUGUCUACCAACGGACCCAAAGCGACGUUGCAUCACCAAAUAUCCGAGUUAACGGGUCGCCAAGUCAUUUGAUUCUUAGAUCCUCUUCCAGCCAAAAUUUUAGCCAAAGCGCCUAACUAAUUUCUUUUGGAAUUUCAUUCAUUUACCUUAUCCAAUAUCCAAACGCACAUUCACAGAUCUCUUUCAGACUCUCACUCGACCACAUCAGCCUUAGGGGGCCUUCUGUAUUUCCCCUUUCAAAAUCUUCUCCAUUGUUUGUUUGCACUCUUCUUCACCUCCUCAACUCUCCAAUUUUCAACUUUUCAGAUGCUCAAAUCUCAAAAUCUCUGCUAGUUUGGCUUCAACAACCAAUACCCAUUCCCCUUUUCUGCAGUUCCAAGCUCACUCAUCUAUGGUGAGUUUUCCCGCCAAUUUUCCCUUUUGAAUUGGUCUCCUCAAAGGCAUUGGUGGCUUGUAACAUCGAAGAGGUUCUCUAAAGAAAGAUUCUUCUUAGGUAUGAAUAGUCCUUGUAGAAACUCAUCGGAUGUUGAUUUCAACGAUGUGUUUGGUGGCCCUCCAAGGCGGCUAUCAAUUCAGGAGGUGCGGCGCAGUUGUGGUGAAAGUGGAGAUUCGUAUGCGUUAAGAAGUGAUGAGGAAACAAGCUUAUCUCGUUCUGGGUGGUCAGGUCUGAGUGAGAAGCCGGUGUUUGGAGAGGGAGGAGUUAGUAGAAGGCGAUAUCCAAAUGAUGAUUUCUUUGAUGAUAUUUUUACAGCUUAUUCUCCGACUAAGAGCAGUCGAGAUCCAUUUUCUUCUGCUCCAGGUUCGAGAGUUUUAAGCCCUGUUCAUCCCCUGCCACUAACUGCUGAGCACUCUGCGAGUUCAUCACAGGCAACACAAUUCAGCCUCCCUGCCAAAGGGACUGACUUGCCAACUUUUGGGUCCUGUUCCCGUAAUUAUCACAGAAAUAAGGAUGCUACUUCAACUGGUAUAAGCUUUCGUUCAUAUUCUACCCUAUCUAGACUUUCAAGCAAAGCAAAUCAAGCUCAGGGGGAGUCGGGAAAUGAUGUUUAUUUUCAGAGCUCUUUAUUGCAGGAACAAUCUCUUAGCAAGGAAGAGUCAUCAAACAUUGUGAAACCUAAUGAAAUGGCCAAAGGCAAUGAUUUUAAAAUGGAUUCAAAGAGUUCUGAAGGUCCAAAUAUUAGCAACCAGUUUCACUUCUCAAUUUACAAAUGGGCAAGCAAAGGGAUACCCCUACCAUUGCCUCUUGCAGGAGGAAAUAGUUCAAAAUGGAAAGAGAAGUUUAAAUUUGAGAGGAGCUCAAGUGCUUCUGGACGGAUAGCAUGUGAAGGUAUGGCAACGGAAUCACCGACAGUGAUCGCGGAGGAUACUGGUUGCCCCUCAUUCAAUAUUAGCAUAUCGUCAGAUGCUAAGUCCUCUGAGGUUGAACUUGAUCAAAAUGAAAAUGGCUCCCUUUUCAAUAGAAGCACUAAUAGAAAAUUAGGAGGGCUGAAUUCUGACAAGGCAAUUCCGACCGAGUCUGAAAUCCCAUGCACUCAUCAAGAAGAUGGCCCUGAUAAUAUUAUCUUUCAGAAUUCAUAUAAAGAAACAAAACCUCAUUUUGUUCUUGGUACAGGCUUCUCUGGAAAAGUAGAGAAGAAAAAUUCUGUGGCCACACAAGAAGCACUGCGUUCCCCGUUGAUAGGAACCGAUGAGAUUACUACCCAAAAUGAAUUGAAGGAAGACGAGGUGAAAAGCAUCAAAAGAUUAGUAGCAUUAUUUGAUUUUAGUGAAAAAAUAGAGAAAAAAGAUGGAAAUGUAUUGCAUAGUGAAAAAAUGGAUAAAACAAACUUGCGAGGUUCACCCACAAAUUCUCUUGCAAAGAGUAGAGGUAAGGGAAAGGUCAGGGAAUUUGUUAAAAUUUUUAACCAGGCAGCUUCAAACAACUCCAAAUUCUGUGUGGAUUCUCAAUCUCAGAGCUCUAGAUGGAAUGACAGAGGCAAAUUUAAGACAGAAGAUGAUGUAGAUUUUACCUCAACUCGACUAAAAGAGAAAAUGCACUUGCCUAAUGUGAACAAGAACAAUACACUCGAUCCCUGCAUUGUGGUAGAUGAGUUUCUUAUGCGGUUAGAGAAACAACAUUCUGAGACGAGGAACAGCAACCAUAAGUCCACCGCGAUCUCUCCUGGACUUAAGGAUAGGUCAGCAUCAACUGCAGGACCAAUCCCUGAUGGCUCGGAAGCAAUAGCUGGAGAUCCAGAUGAUUCCUUCCAAGGAAAUAUCCUGAUUAAAGAAUUAUCUCAGGGUGAAGAUGAACUGCCACAAGCUGGUGAUAUCCAAUUCAUUAAUGAUAAAAUUUGGAAAUGGUCAAAUGGAAGGGAAGGGAACAUCCGCUCCCUGCUCUCAACUUUACAAUAUAUUGAUUACACCAGAUUCUUUGGCCUGAAAGUGGGUGGAAGCCUGUGCCUCUUGUUGAUAUAAUUGAAGGAAAUGCAGUGAAGAGAUCAUAUCAGAAGGCCUUACUCUUUUUACACCCAGAUAAACUACAGCAGAAAGGUGCCACAUCACAUCAAAAAUACAUAGCAGAGAAAGUUUUUGAUAUUCUGCAGGAAGCAUGGACCCAUUUCAACUCACUUGGUUCAGUGUGAGCAAUGAAUUCUCAAGUAUGAAUCAAUAGGGUUCACAUGAUACGCUAAUAUGGUAGCGAGAAAACUACGUUUUGGACUGUACGUAGGUAGUUUGUGUGGUAUGCUGCUAUGUAUUGGACAUACCUGCUUGGUUCCUAUAGCGCAUUGAAUGUUGCCAAGCUCCAAUUUAGAUUUUCUUUUUUAAAUAUGUACAUAUUUUUUAUUUUUACUUGAAAAGUCACUUCAAAUUCUUA
Molecule: RNA transcript, 2924 nt
Organism: Manihot esculenta (cassava)
Lineage: Eukaryota; Viridiplantae; Streptophyta; Magnoliopsida; Malpighiales; Euphorbiaceae
Gene name: J domain-containing protein required for chloroplast accumulation response 1
Exons: 9
Source: RefSeq, a predicted model, not a curated record